RNAcentral lists this ribosomal RNA (1081 nucleotides) under Bacillus sp. (in: firmicutes). RNAcentral describes it as "bacterial SSU rRNA". It matches the Rfam family "Bacterial small subunit ribosomal RNA", at positions 57 to 1122 of the family's 1533-position model. Lineage: Bacteria; Bacillati; Bacillota; Bacilli; Caryophanales; Bacillaceae. The record is from RNAcentral.
GCAGUCGAGCGGACAGAAGGGAGCUUGCUCCCGGAUGUUAGCGGCGGACGGGUGAGUAACACGUGGGUAACCUGCCUGUAAGACUGGGAUAACUCCGGGAAACCGGAGCUAAUACCGGAUAGUUCCUUGAACCGCAUGGUUCAAGGAUGAAAGACGGUUUCGGCUGUCACUUACAGAUGGACCCGCGGCGCAUUAGCUAGUUGGUGGGGUAAUGGCUCACCAAGGCGACGAUGCGUAGCCGACCUGAGAGGGUGAUCGGCCACACUGGGACUGAGACACGGCCCAGACUCCUACGGGAGGCAGCAGUAGGGAAUCUUCCGCAAUGGACGAAAGUCUGACGGAGCAACGCCGCGUGAGUGAUGAAGGUUUUCGGAUCGUAAAGCUCUGUUGUUAGGGAAGAACAAGUGCGAGAGUAACUGCUCGCACCUUGACGGUACCUAACCAGAAAGCCACGGCUAACUACGUGCCAGCAGCCGCGGUAAUACGUAGGUGGCAAGCGUUGUCCGGAAUUAUUGGGCGUAAAGGGCUCGCAGGCGGUUUCUUAAGUCUGAUGUGAAAGCCCCCGGCUCAACCGGGGAGGGUCAUUGGAAACUGGGAAACUUGAGUGCAGAAGAGGAGAGUGGAAUUCCACGUGUAGCGGUGAAAUGCGUAGAGAUGUGGAGGAACACCAGUGGCGAAGGCGACUCUCUGGUCUGUAACUGACGCUGAGGAGCGAAAGCGUGGGGAGCGAACAGGAUUAGAUACCCUGGUAGUCCACGCCGUAAACGAUGAGUGCUAAGUGUUAGGGGGUUUCCGCCCCUUAGUGCUGCAGCUAACGCAUUAAGCACUCCGCCUGGGGAGUACGGUCGCAAGACUGAAACUCAAAGGAAUUGACGGGGGCCCGCACAAGCGGUGGAGCAUGUGGUUUAAUUCGAAGCAACGCGAAGAACCUUACCAGGUCUUGACAUCCUCUGACAACCCUAGAGAUAGGGCUUUCCCUUCGGGGACAGAGUGACAGGUGGUGCAUGGUUGUCGUCAUCUCGUGUCGUGAGAUGUUGGGUUAAGUCCCGCCACGACCGCACCCUGGAUCUAUUGCACCAUU